AAGGUUGGCUAAUCCUGGUCGGACAUCAGGAGGUUAGUGCAAUGGCAUAAGCCAGCUUGACUGCGAGCGUGACGGCGCGAGCAGGUGCGAAAGCAGGUCAUAGUGAUCCGGUGGUUCUGAAUGGAAGGGCCAUCGCUCAACGGAUAAAAGGUACUCCGGGGAUAACAGGCUGAUACCGCCCAAGAGUUCAUAUCGACGGCGGUGUUUGGCACCUCGAUGUCGGCUCAUCACAUCCUGGGGCUGAAGUAGGUCCCAAGGGUAUGGCUGUUCGCCAUUUAAAGUGGUACGCGAGCUGGGUUUAGAACGUCGUGAGACAGUUCGGUCCCUAUCUGCCGUGGGCGCUGGAGAACUGAGGGGGGCUGCUCCUAGUACGAGAGGACCGGAGUGGACGCAUCACUGGUGUUCGGGUUGUCAUGCCAAUGGCACUGCCCGGUAGCUAAAUGCGGAAGAGAUAAGUGCUGAAAGCAUCUAAGCACGAAACUUGCCCCGAGAUGAGUUCUCCCUGACCCUUUAAGGGUCCUGAAGGAACGUUGAAGACGACGACGUUGAUAGGCCGGGUGUGUAAGCGCAGCGAUGCGUUGAGCUAACCGGUACUAAUGAACCGUGAGGCUUAACCUUACAA
Molecule: ribosomal RNA, 622 nt
Filed under: Escherichia coli
Lineage: Bacteria; Pseudomonadati; Pseudomonadota; Gammaproteobacteria; Enterobacterales; Enterobacteriaceae
Description: partial 23S ribosomal RNA
Rfam family: Bacterial large subunit ribosomal RNA
Source: RNAcentral